Molecule: ribosomal RNA, 496 nt
Filed under: uncultured bacterium
Lineage: Bacteria
Description: partial 16S ribosomal RNA
Rfam family: Bacterial small subunit ribosomal RNA
Source: RNAcentral
GAUGAACGCUGGCGGCGUGCCUAAUACAUGCAAGUCGAGCGAACGGACGAGAAGCUUGCUUCUCUGAUGUUAGCGGCGGACGGGUGAGUAACACGUGGAUAACCUACCUAUAAGACUGGGAUAACUUCGGGAAACCGUAGCUAAUACCGGAUAAUAUUUUGAACCGCAUGGUUCAAAAGUGAAAGACGGUCUUGCUGUCACUUAUAGAUGGAUCCGCGCUGCAUUAGCUAGUUGGUAAGGUAACGGCUUACCAAGGCAACGAUGCAUAGCCGACCUGAGAGGGUGAUCGGCCAAACGGAAACUGAGACCGGGCCAAGACCCUGAGGGGAGGCGGAGGAAGGGAUCCUCCGGAAAGGGGCGAAAGCCGACGGGACAACCGCGGGUUGGGUAUGAAAGGUCUCCGAUCCGUAAACCUUGGUAAUAGGGAAGAACAUAUGUGUAAGUAACUGUGCACAUCUUGACGGUACCUAAUCAGAAAGCCACGGCUAACUACGUG